GAUGAACGCUGGCGGCGUGCCUAAUACAUGCAAGUCGAACGCUGAAGGAAGGAGCUUGCUCUUUCCGGAUGAGUUGCGAACGGGUGAGUAACGCGUAGGUAACCUGCCUGGUAGCGGGGGAUAACUAUUGGAAACGAUAGCUAAUACCGCAUAACAGUAGAUGUUGCAUGAUAUCUACUUAAAAGGUGCAAUUGCACCACUACCAGAUGGACCUGCGUUGUAUUAGCUAGUUGGUGAGGUAACGGCUCACCAAGGCGACGAUACAUAGCCGACCUGAGAGGGUGAUCGGCCACACUGGGACUGAGACACGGCCCAGACUCCUACGGGAGGCAGCAGUAGGGAAUCUUCGGCAAUGGACGGAAGUCUGACCGAGCAACGCCGCGUGAGUGAAGAAGGUUGUCGGAUCGUAAAGCUCUGUUGUAAGAGAAGAACGAGUGUGAGAGUGGAAAGUUCACACUGUGACGGUAGCUUACCAGAAAGGGACGGCUAACUACGUG
This 497-nucleotide ribosomal RNA is filed under the name uncultured bacterium. RNAcentral's name for it is "partial 16S ribosomal RNA". It matches the Rfam family "Bacterial small subunit ribosomal RNA", at positions 28 to 507 of the family's 1533-position model. The record is from RNAcentral.